Long non-coding RNA from Tachysurus fulvidraco (yellow catfish), 921 nucleotides. RefSeq lists it as uncharacterized. Lineage: Eukaryota; Metazoa; Chordata; Actinopteri; Siluriformes; Bagridae. The transcript has 3 exons. The record is from RefSeq and is a predicted model, not a curated record.
GUCUGGAGCCGAGCGGCUGCGAGCGGCAGUGGUGUUGUAGCUUUGGUGGAGAGAGAAGUUCCCCGAUUAAAAAGGUUAUGCUGUCUAACGUCCGUCCUGUUAUUCCUGAGGAGAUAUAGACCAAAGAGCGAGUGUCUCCCCAGUCAGAAAGUCCCCCUUGGCUAUGCACAUAUGAAAUGCUUUCACUGGGGUAAAACGGGGCAUCUUGUUUGGGCCUGUCCUGAGAGGCAGGGUGACCCACGGUUCUGGGCCACGGUUCUGCCAGCUGUUCGGUCCCAGACCUGCUGCUGCACCAGAGCUAAAGGAGAGUGAGUCCCAAACCCAGAAGUCCACCAGAGUUACAAAACCCCUGAAAAGCGCUGAAGCAGCACAGGAAAAGACUUGUUUUCUGAACCUGCCCCGGAUCAGCCCUGCUCAGUGGGUUCUGCUGCAGUGCUGGAGCUUCCUGCACUGGCAGAGGCAGGUACAGGGGUGCAGAGCCAUCACUCGGAAACACCAGACACUACACCAGUGCAGGUUGAUGGGGGGUGGAGAUGGAGGAAGAGCCCAUUGUUAAAGUACCAACAUAGAGGAAAGAACAAGGUGAUGGACAGCAGAAAGAAGCAAACAAGAAACAAAGAUAUAAGAAAUGGAGUCAGACUGAAGAGUGUGUGUCAGCGUCUGCCUUCGGUUCACAUGAGGAACAGUUAAGUGUUGUGGAAAGUGCAGAAGAUAUUAAAGAAUUAUUUAAAAAACACAAAAUGGCAAAAAAACAUUUAUGAAGUGAAGUGAAGUGACAUACGGCUAAGUAGUGGCCCAGACUCCGAAAUUUUUCUCUGCAUUUAACCCAUCCAAAGUGCACACACACACAGCAGUGAACAAACACACACACACACACACACACACACGCGCGCACAGUGAACACACACUGUGAACACACAU